Mycena maculata is the source of this 89-nucleotide non-coding RNA. The record is from the annotation of a GenBank genome assembly. Lineage: Eukaryota; Fungi; Basidiomycota; Agaricomycetes; Agaricales; Mycenaceae.
GACCUGGUGGUGUAGUGGUCACACUCCUCGAGAAUUAGCCCCUGUAUGAUUUGCUGAGGCAGUCUCCGGUUCGAUUCCGGACCAGGUCA